Molecule: ribosomal RNA, 332 nt
Filed under: Triticum aestivum (bread wheat)
Lineage: Eukaryota; Viridiplantae; Streptophyta; Magnoliopsida; Poales; Poaceae
Description: partial small subunit ribosomal RNA
Source: RNAcentral
AAAAAGAAAAGCACAAAGAGCUGCUGGAUGAUGAUUUCGAUGAUUAUGACAAUGACCAUUAUUAUGAAAGGUAUUUCUUAUAUCUGUACACGAUUACAUGGUAUUUCUUAUAAUGAUCAUUGGGAGAAGCAUGACUACACUCGCAAAAUCUUUGUUGGGUGUCUCCCGCUUUCGGUACACGAUGCCUACCUUAGCAGAUUCUUCAGUACUGAAUUCGGACCUGUGGAGGAAGCAAUAGUAAUUACCUUUUCUAGGAGUACUGAAUUCGGACCUAUGGAUGAGAUUCCCAGAGUCAGUGCCAGAUCAUCAGUCUCCAAGAUCACCACCUACCG